RNAcentral lists this ribosomal RNA (509 nucleotides) under uncultured bacterium. RNAcentral describes it as "bacterial SSU rRNA". It matches the Rfam family "Bacterial small subunit ribosomal RNA", at positions 8 to 526 of the family's 1533-position model. The record is from RNAcentral.
AGGGUUUGAUUCUGGCUCAGGACGAACGCUGGCGGUGCGCCUUAUGCAUGCAAGUCGAGCGAAGCUUUUCAGUAGUUUACUACAGAAAAUGACUGAGCGGCGAACGGGUGAGUAACGCGUGAGCAAUCUACCUUAGUUACAGGGAUAGCCCGAGGAAACUCGGAUUAAUACCUGAUAUUCUUUACAUUUCGCAUGAAAUUAAAAGGAAAGGUCAGCCGAACUAAGAUGAGCUCGCGUUCUAUCAGCUAGUUGGUAAGAUAAAAGCUUACCAAGGCUGCGACGGAUAGCUGGUCUGAGAGGACGAUCAGCCACACUGGGACUGAGACACGGCCCAGACUCCUACGGGAGGCUGCAGCAGGGAAUAUUGCGCAAUGAGCGAAAGCUUGACGCAGCGACACCGCGUGUGGGAUGACGGAUCUAGGUUUGUAAACCACUUUCAGGAGGGAAGAAAAUGACGGUACCUCCACAAGAAGCCCCGGCCAACUACGUGCCAGCAGCCGCGGUAAUAC